RNAcentral lists this ribosomal RNA (503 nucleotides) under uncultured bacterium. RNAcentral's name for it is "bacterial SSU rRNA". It matches the Rfam family "Bacterial small subunit ribosomal RNA", at positions 21 to 518 of the family's 1533-position model. The record is from RNAcentral.
GGCUCAGGAUGAACGCUAGCGACAGGCCUAACACAUGCAAGUCGAGGGGCAGCACAAGGAGCAAUCUGAGGUGGCGACCGGCGCACGGGUGAGUAACACGUAUGCAACCUGCCUGUAAGCGGGGAAUAACCCGUUGAAAGACGGACUAAUACCGCAUAAUACUAAAUUACUGCAUGGUAAUUUAUUUAAACAUUUAUGGCUUACAGAUGGGCAUGCGCAUGAUUAGCUAGUUGGAGAGGUAACGGCUCCCCAAGGCAACGAUCAUUAGGGGUUCUGAGAGGAAGGUCCCCCCACACUGGUACUGAGACACGGACCAGACUCCUACGGGAGGCAGCAGUGAGGAAUAUUGGUCAAUGGACGAGAGUCUGAACCAGCCAAGUCGCGUGCAGGAAGAAUGUCCUAUGGAUUGUAAACUGCUUUUGCAGGGGAAUAAAGUGCAUCACGUGUGAUGUUUUGUAUGUACUCUGCGAAUAAGGAUCGGCUAACUCCGUGCCAGCCGCGGC